Biomphalaria pfeifferi is the source of this 554-nucleotide non-coding RNA. NCBI's taxonomy places the organism in Eukaryota, Metazoa, Mollusca, Gastropoda, Planorbidae. The record is from the annotation of a GenBank genome assembly.
CCCCCCAAUGAUAAAAAAUUAUAUUCCAAGAAGUUAAAAGAAAAAAAUAUUCUCUGUUAAAGUAUUAGGUAUAUCAGAAACUGUUUUAUUUCUCUGGAUCAAAAUCCUUAUUGGAAAUGUGUGAUCUUGAGGACUCCUUAAAAACAUAACAUUCCAAAAAGAGAAGACACAAAGUUCAUAAAGAAGUUUAAAGAAUAAAAUAGUGUGUAUGUAACGGUAGAUUAGAAAUUGUUGUAUUUAUUAUUCAGAAAUAAUCUUCAAAAUUAUUAUAAAUUAAUAUUAAAAAAAAACAUGAGCAUUCUUAAUAAUGUAUUAGCAUAAAGUAACACAUAAAAUAAACAAUAGACAUCUAUUUUGCUAAAUACAACAGGCUUCCACUAUUUUACAAAUAAUACACUAACAUUGGAAGUAAUUACAUGAAUACUUUACUAGGAGAUAAUAUAUCACUCUAAUAUCAGUCGAAAUUUGCAGAUUCUUGGUCUGUGGGCCCAUGUCAAGUUGUUUUAGGAAAACAUUGCAUUUUUUUCGUAUUGUAGUAAAACAAAGUGUCAAUU